RNAcentral lists this ribosomal RNA (236 nucleotides) under uncultured bacterium. RNAcentral's name for it is "partial 16S ribosomal RNA". It matches the Rfam family "Bacterial small subunit ribosomal RNA", at positions 100 to 334 of the family's 1533-position model. The record is from RNAcentral.
CGGGACGGGUGAGUAACGCGUGGGUAACCUGCCUUGUACUGGGGGACAACAGUUGGAAACGACUGCUAAUACCGCAUAAGCGCACAGCUUCGCAUGAAGCAGUGUGAAAAACCCCGGUGGUACAAGAUGGACCCGCGUCUGAUUAGCUGGUUGGUGAGGUAACGGCCCACCAAGGCGACGAUCAGUAGCCGGCCUGAGAGGGUGAACGGCCACAUUGGGACUGAGACACGGCCCAA